This is a long non-coding RNA of Loxodonta africana (African savanna elephant), 2415 nucleotides long. RefSeq lists it as uncharacterized. The transcript has 3 exons. NCBI's taxonomy places the organism in Eukaryota, Metazoa, Chordata, Mammalia, Proboscidea, Elephantidae. The record is from RefSeq and is a predicted model, not a curated record.
AUCCCAAGCGGCUUCUGGAAAAUCAGGCUCCCGGGCCUCGGUCCCUCCCCUCAGAGGAGGGGCUGUUUAUUGCCGAAGGUUUCGCAACGCCCCAUCCCGGUCCGCCCCCCCUCCCUGCUCUGCGCCUUGGGGCGCGCGGAGACACACUCACCCAUUUCUUGGUCCAGCCUCUGAGGCAGACCAUGAUGGGGUCUGAAAAGAACAAAAGAAGACCCCUGCCCCAGAUCAAGGACACUUCCCUGGGGACAACUCUGGAUGAUGUCUUCAUAUGAUGAGGGGAAGCUUGGUGGAACCUGAACAUGGGCACUACCACUGGGGGCCAGCUGAGGGUAUUUCUCUCCCAGCUGUACCAGUGAAAGUCUUAAGCGUCUCUGGUUUCCCACCGAAGUCCAAGAAGAGACAAGCAUGGGUUUGGGAUCUGAUCUCAAGCCUAUAGCCUUCCUACCAUAAGGAGGACCUCACUCAGUUCAGCUGGUAAAAGGAAGAUAUUGUCCACAUUGGUUGCCCACCCCAUUUUCAGAUGGACAUACCUCGUUUUUCUUUCUUUUAUUCUUUUUAGUGCCACAAAGUAACUGCAUUAUUACAUUCUCAUUGUAAAAGAUGUAAAUCACACAGCAGCACGGGAAGUAAAAGUGGAAAUGUCCUGUUACAUCUGUUCUUAUUUCCUCAUCUCAUUCCUUGUUGCAACAAAAACCUUUAGCCCUGGCAAGUCUUCUUUCUUGCCACUAAGGAAGGGGACCUGCUGCUGUCGAUGCAGUUGGGCAGAACUGCUUUUCCAUUACCUUCAGCCACUCAGCUCAGUUCUUAGAUGGGAGUUCACUGUGUAUUGUGUAACAACCCAGGAGCAUCUGGACCCAAGUUUGGACGCGUCUCCGACACCAAAGACUCAGGAACAAGUGAUCGUGACAUAUGGUUUAUUUGAGGAGCUCAGUUACGGGACGAUUGGUCCAAGGCAACAGCUGGGCCAGUUUAGCACUCCACAACUGCCUAGCAGGGGACACAAGCUUAUAUACCGUUCCAGCUGGGGCAAGGGCUCAUUUUCUCCCAAGUCCUUGGGCAGCCAGCAUCCCCAGGGACUUCAUGUCCAGGCCCAGAUGUUUUUCUUCUUAUUUUUAAGGCAUUCCUUGGCCUUGGCCACUGACCCAGUCAUGCCACUCCCAGCCUUGUGCCUUAGCCUGAGUCCAUCCCAAGUUCAUUCCCAGCAUGCACUGGGGAAGAGCAAAGCUGACUCCAUUGGGAGGGGAUGCAUAUAGCUGAAUAGCAUUACCCCCUACACCAUGUGCAGAGACAUUGAUGGCAGGAGCCAAACAUUAGAGAUGGUGUUUUUGUUUCCUAGGGCUGCCAUAACAAGGUGCCACCAACUAGGUAGCUUAAAACAGUAGAACUCCAUUCUCUCACAGUUCUGGAGGCUAGAAGUCUGAAAUCAAGCUGUCAGCAGGGCCAUGCUCUAACUAAGACACCAACACAGAGAAGAUUCUUUCAUUCUGGAAUCUUUCUCUCACCUUGGCGUCACCCCAGGUUGCACAUUUUGUGGGUUCUCCUUCUCCCUUUCUGGCCUCCCCUCUCUUACUUUUCUACCCCAUCUUCAACCUCCCACUGAUUAAAUGUGGGGACCUCCACAGACCUACCUUUACCCUCUUUUGUCCUGUGAACUCUUACCCUCAGGGAUUCGAUCCACCCUUAUGGAUUGCUCGUGCUACGUGGCUUGCUUUAUAAAAAAUUUUUUUUUAAUUUAAUUUUUCCCCAUCUGUCUUGUGAACAAUAGUUUUGCAUUUCGAAGAUGGAAUUGGCUUUCCCCCACAAAACUGCUCUUUCCCCGACUUCCUUUUUAGUUCCUUCCUCCUUCCUGUAUCUAUUUAGUAUUCAGCAGUCACAAAAUAGUGUAGAGCUGUUACAGGGAGCUCUUAAUGAGUCUGCCACACUCUGGUAUCUUCUAUCAGCCAACCACUACCACCUCCCGCCAUACCAGCUGAACCAUUCUAAAGUGUAACUGGGUUUGUGCCACAUUUCUGCUCACCGGCCUGGCUUUAAAGACUUUCUACUGUCCAAUCCCAACCUGCUUUUAUUCCUCUUCCUUAUCUACACAAGUCGUUUCCAUUGAGCGUAAUCAUCUACUCCUCCCACCACCUCUAAGCUUUGCUUCACACCUGUUACUCUGAAGGGUAUUUACCACCCCAUCCCUUUGACCACUCCCAUGGGUCAUUUUUACUUAGAUCUCAAAGUCCACUCUUACUAGGAAAAUUUCUACUGAUGCACUUGACACAACAGACCACACUCCCUCUUCUGAACUCCUACAGGUUCUUGAUUCCAUUUCAUGGUACCCCUCUGUUGCAGUGAAGCAUUACAUCUGUUGGCGUAUGUCUGUUUUCCUCCAGCACACUGAACUCUAGAGAGGCAGAGCUGUAGCUUCCUAAG